CAUUGAGAAGCUAUGAAUCAGCACUAGCCUUUUAAGCUAACAAAAGAGGGUACUCUCCUCCUCAAUGA
Molecule: transfer RNA, 68 nt
Filed under: Ithaginis cruentus
Lineage: Eukaryota; Metazoa; Chordata; Aves; Galliformes; Phasianidae
Description: tRNA-Lys
Source: RNAcentral